GGUUUGUCCAGAUCUUCCUCUUCCAACUCCGAUUAUAUAAAAAUUACAGUCUCGAAUCCCCAGAAGGAGCAAGAGGUUUCGAACUCGAUUGUGCCCGGUGGGAAUUCCUACGUCACUUAUCUGAUCACUACGAGGACAAACAUAGCGGAGUUUGGAGGAUCAGAAUUUAGCGUUCGAAGGAGGUUCAAGGAUGUGGUGACGCUAU
RNAcentral lists this unclassified non-coding RNA (205 nucleotides) under Hevea brasiliensis (rubber tree). The record is from RNAcentral. Lineage: Eukaryota; Viridiplantae; Streptophyta; Magnoliopsida; Malpighiales; Euphorbiaceae.